GUAACAAGGUCUCCGUAGGUGAACCUGCGGAGGGAUCAUUACUGAGUGAGGGCCUCUGGCCCGACCUCCAACCCCAUGUUAUCUGACACUGUUGCCUCCGGGGCGACCCGGCCUGCCUUCGGGCGUUUCGGGGCCCCGGGUGGACCAUUCAACUCUGCAUCUUUGCGUCUGAGUAAAUGAUUGAAUCAAUCAAAACUUUCAACAACGGAUCUCUUGGUUCUGGCAUCGAUGAAGAACGCAGCGAAAUGCGAUAAGUAAUGUGAAUUGCAGAAUUCAGUGAAUCAUCGAAUCUUUGAACGCACAUUGCGCCCCUUGGUAUUCCGAGGGGCAUGCCUGUUCGAGCGUCAUUACACCACUCAAGCCUCGCUUGGUAUUGGGCGCCGCGGUCCGCCGCGCGCCUCAAUGUUUCCGGCUGAGCUCUCUGUCUCUAAGCGUUGUGGUUAAAACUAUCCGCUUGCGAGAUCGGGGGGCGUCUGGCCGUUAAACCAUUACUCAAAGGUUGACCUCGGAUCAGGUAGGGAUACCCGCUGAACCUAAGCAUAUC
This 544-nucleotide unclassified non-coding RNA is filed under the name Neocatenulostroma germanicum. RNAcentral describes it as "sequence contains 18S rRNA gene, ITS1, 5.8S rRNA gene, ITS2, 28S rRNA gene". The stretch from base 194 to 347 matches the Rfam family "5.8S ribosomal RNA". The record is from RNAcentral. Lineage: Eukaryota; Fungi; Ascomycota; Dothideomycetes; Mycosphaerellales; Teratosphaeriaceae.